GUUGAGAACAAAGGAGGACUUCAUGUUUUGUCUUAUGGUGUUGAAAAAAUGACCCAUGGUCAGUCUGAAGGCCGAUCCACUGUUUGCACCCAUUUAUCAGCUGUCACAGCAUCUAACUUCAUAUUGAGUAGCCCCCGGCUUUUCAAAACGCAAAAUAGAUUCUGGGCGUGCCUCAUGCGGUCCAUGUAUAUGACAGUCGCAAUAAGAAAACCAAAAACCCAUGGGCUUCCUGCUCUUCAGGUCGGGGUGUGCAAUCAGGUAUAAAAAUCAGAAUAUAGGACUGAUUUCCUGGGAGAGAAGUGCCAACCCAUAGUAACUGAGGAAUGAUGUAAAGGUCUCCUCUCCUAGAUCAUUGGCUGCCGGAGGUCAAUGCUCAAGUGUUGCUAGUCUUUCCAUUUCUGGUGUCUAUCACAGGGACUGUGGACACAUAUUAUAAGUAAAGACUUCAGGGAGUAUAGAUGGCAGUCACUUGCCUUUGGGCCAGGCCAGAGAACACUGUGAGGUACAUGGAUGCCCAUGCCAUUCAAGAAAGGAGAUUCCAUUACCAACAUCAAUC
Long non-coding RNA from Acinonyx jubatus (cheetah), 556 nucleotides. RefSeq lists it as uncharacterized. NCBI's taxonomy places the organism in Eukaryota, Metazoa, Chordata, Mammalia, Carnivora, Felidae. The transcript has 4 exons. The record is from RefSeq and is a predicted model, not a curated record.